Long non-coding RNA from Aegilops tauschii subsp. strangulata, 853 nucleotides. RefSeq lists it as uncharacterized. The record is from RefSeq and is a predicted model, not a curated record. Lineage: Eukaryota; Viridiplantae; Streptophyta; Magnoliopsida; Poales; Poaceae.
GUUUUCACCUCUAACUAAACUAACCCGUUUGCAUCUACAUAUACUAAAGCAAAAGAAGCAAAAGGAGGAAAAAGAAAAGGUUAACAAAGAGCAUGGAUAGUGUCCAAGCAAGGAACCUUGGGGAGAUGCUUUGUGGGGAGGAAGGGAAAGCAAUGCAUUGCCCAUUACACCCCCACCAUCCAUCUAUCGAUCUGCCAUGGCAUUCUCAGCUCCUCCGAAAGCCGGAGCUCUGCUGCCACCGGCGUGAGACCGUCUUCAGUUUCGAGCAAGGGGAUCAGCAACUUUUUCGGGGAGCGCGGGGUGUUCAUCUAAUCUGCAGCCGAUGGGCUAGCUAGAUAUACAUGCCUGGCCGUCAUGGUUCUUUUCUACUGCUGGCACUAGUGGCAGUAGCAGUUACUAAUUUCUUUCGAGAAGAUCAAAAUGGGUGAUACUAGGAGUAUAUUGAAAAAAGGAGUGCAAAAAAUGCUUAGGGAGGUUUCCAAGAGGCUAUCUCGGGUAGCAAACAAAGUCUACAGAAGGGCGUAUGGGUGGAAUCCUUCUGCUCAAAGACUGUGCUUUGUCUCUACCUGAAAUCGGGCGGCUCUGUAGUGCGUUCAGAUUAUAGACUUGCUUUACUAUUCUGGCUGAUGUGCAAAACAUAAUAGAUGUUAAAAGUCUGUUUCUCUCCCAGUAGUGGGUGGCUUGGCAUCCUAUAGAUGUGGUUAUAUGUCUAGGAUGUAGGUUGUUCUUCAGUUUCGUGAGGUGAUGCAUCAGGUCCGAGAAAAUGUGUGGGGUGUUGAAUUUGUUGUAUCCAGACUCCUAUUUUCAUUAUGAAAAUGGGGGCCAUGUGGCCCCUUUUAUCGAAAAAAGUACA